RNAcentral lists this ribosomal RNA (433 nucleotides) under uncultured bacterium. RNAcentral describes it as "partial 16S ribosomal RNA". It matches the Rfam family "Bacterial small subunit ribosomal RNA", at positions 29 to 507 of the family's 1533-position model. The record is from RNAcentral.
AACGAACGCUGGCGGCAUGCCUAACACAUGCAAGUCGAACGAGACCUUCGGGUCUAGUGGCGCACGGGUGCGUAACGCGUGGGAACCUGCCCUUAGGUUCGGAAUAACUCCCCGAAAGGGGUGCUAAUACCGGAUAAUGUCUUCGGACCAAAGAUUUAUCGCCUUUGGAUGGGCCCGCGUUGGAUUAGCUAGUUGGUAGGGUAAAAGCCUACCAAGGCGACGAUCCAUAGCUGGUCUGAGAGGAUGAUCAGCCACACUGGGACUGAGACACGGCCCAGACUCCUACGGGAGGCAGCAGUGGGGAAUAUUGGAAAAUGGGCGAAAGCAUGAUCCAGCAAUGACGCGUGAGUGAUGAAGGCCUUAGGGUUGUAAAGCUCUUUUACCCGGGAUGAUAAUGACAGUACCGGGAGAAUAAGCUCCGGCUAACUCCGUG